RNA transcript from Erinaceus europaeus (western European hedgehog), 6423 nucleotides. It is a transcript of the gene named FA complementation group M, with no coding region annotated. The record is from RefSeq and is a predicted model, not a curated record. Lineage: Eukaryota; Metazoa; Chordata; Mammalia; Eulipotyphla; Erinaceidae. The transcript is spliced from 25 exons.
CCGCGAGCGAGCGUCAUGAGCGGGCGGCCGAGGACGCUGCCGCGGACGUGGGGCUCCGGGCCGUGCUUGCCGCCGCCGCCGCGGGCCGAGGGCCGCCCCCCGGCGGACGGGGACGGCGACGCGGGCGGCUUCUGCCCGGCGGCCGGCGCGCUGUGGAUCUACCCCACGCAGUGCCCGGUGCGCGACUACCAGCUGCGCAUGGCGGGCGCCGCGCUGCUGCGCAACACGCUGCUCUGCCUGCCCACCGGGCUGGGCAAGACGUUCGUGGCCGCCGUGGUCAUGUACAACUUCUACCGCUGGUUCCCGGCCGGCAAGGUGGUGUUCCUGGCGCCCAGCAGGCCGCUCGUGGCGCAGCAGAUGGAGGCCUGCUUCCGCGUCAUGGGCAUCCCGCGCGCGCACAUGGCCCAGGUGACAGGCGCCACCCCGGCGGGCAGCAGGCGGCAGCUGUGGCGCGGCCGCGUCCUCUUCCUCACCCCGCAGGUCCUGGCCAACGACCUCGCGCGCGGGGCCUGUCCGGCCGCCGCCGUCAAGUGUCUGGUGGUGGACGAGGCGCACCGGGCGCUGGGGAACCACGCGUACUGCCAGGUCGUGAGAGAACUCGUCAAAUACACAAGCCACUUCAGGAUCUUGGCUCUUAGCGCUACACCGGGCAGCGACAUGAAGGCUGUGCAGCAGGUUAUUACUAACCUACUAAUUGGCCAGAUAGAACUUCGCUCUGAAGAGUCUCCUGAUAUUUUGCCUUAUUCUCAUGAAAGACGAGUUGAAAAAAUAGUUGUUCCCCUUGGUGAAGAACUUGCAGCUAUCCAAAGGUCCUAUCUCCAGAUCCUGGAAGCUUUUGCGAGCUGUUUGAUCCAGAGGAAUAUUUUGAUGCGGAGGGACAUUGCCAAUCUAACAAAGUAUCAGAUAAUUUUAGCAAGAGAUCAAUUUAGGAAAAACCCAUCUCCAAAUAUUUUGGGAAUACAGCAAGGUAUAAUUGAAGGAGAAUUUGCUAUUUGCAUUAGUUUGUAUCAUGGCUAUGAAUUAUUGCAGCAAAUGGGAUUGAGAUCGCUGUAUUUAUUUCUUUGUGGGAUUAUGGAUGGAACUAAAGGAGUGACUCGGACAAAGACUGAACUUAGCCGAAAUGAGGACUUCAUGACCCUCUAUAGUCAGCUAGAGGGCAUGUUUGCACAGACAUGCGGUACUUCAGAAGGUGACAUUUCUCCUGUCCAGAAAGGCGAUAGAGAUAAAAAUUUUUUCUAUAGUCAUCCAAAGUUAAAGAAACUAGAAGAAGUGGUAGUUGAACAUUUCACGUCUUGGAAUGCUCGAAGCACAUCUGAGAAGAAAUGUGAUGAGACACGAGUCAUGAUCUUCUCUUCAUUCCGAGACAGCGUGCAGGAGAUUGCAGCAAUGCUAAAGCGGCACCAGCCUGUCAUCCGAGUAAUGACUUUUGUUGGCCAUGCCUCAGGGAAAAGCGUGAAGGGCUUUACCCAAAAGGAGCAACUAGAGGUAGUGAAACAAUUUCGUAGUGGUGGUUACAAUACUUUAGUUUCUACUUGUGUCGGUGAAGAAGGUUUGGAUAUAGGAGAAGUUGAUCUUAUAGUAUGUUUUGAUGCUCAGAAGAGCCCAAUUCGUCUCGUACAACGAAUGGGUAGAACCGGCCGCAGACGUCAAGGCAGGAUUGUUGUUAUCCUUACAGAAGGACGAGAAGAACGUAAUUAUAAUCAAAGUCAGUCCAAUAGAAGACAUAUUUAUAAAGCAAUUGCAGGUAACAAACAGGUUCUUCAUUUUUACCAAGGAAGUCCGCGAAUGGUCCCUGAUGGCAUCAAUCCACAGCUCCAUAAGAUGUUCAUCACAUGUGGUGUGUAUGAGUCAGAGAAACCUCGGAGCUUGCAGCGGAAAUCUUCAGCCUUUUCUUCCAGGAAUGGAAUGAGGCAAAAUUCAAAGAAAGAUUGGUUACUCUCAGAAGAAGAAUUUAAGUUAUGGAACAGACUUUACAGAUUAAGAAGCAGUGAUGAAAUUAAGGAAAUAACAUUGCCUCAAGUUCAGUUUUUGUCUUUAUCAAGUGAGGAAGACAUACCAACGGAAGAACCAGCCCCUGGAACUCGUCAGCUCUCUCUCUCUGAAUGGAGCGUGUGGCAAGACCACCCUUUUCCCACACAUCAGGUUGGCCAUUCUGAUCGAUGCCUCCAUUUUAUAAACAUCAUGCAGAUGAUUGAAGGGAUGAGACGUGAAGAGAAUGAAUGCAGCUAUGAAUUGGAAAUUCAGCCUUUCUUGCAAAUGGAAGAUGUUAGUCCAACAUUUAUUGCUAGCAAGAAUGCAUAUCAUUCUCUUGCCAACAGCGUCUCUGCUAGACACAAGAAAUCUUCAUGCACAAAGAAUAUAAAUCAAGGCAGUUUUUUCUCAGUGACAGAGCCUAAAGAAAAAGGUUCCGGGAAUUGUAGACAGCCUCUUGCCACACCUGCUAGAAUUGCUCCUCUGAAGGACAGAGCGCCUAAAGAGCUAGAAGACCAGUCUGAAAAGGCAGAGAGUGAAGUAGCUGGACCUGCUCUAGCUACUGAUGGAAACUGUGCUGCUGACAACGUUUGCCAGGCAGACCUGUUACAGGAUAAAAGGGCAUCAGGCAGACAUGAAGUGGUUGUCCCCUGUGCCCACAGUGACAGUGUCACUCAGCCAUGUGGAUUAGUAACAGGAUGCAGGUUGAUGAACAAACCUGCUGGAAAUUUUUCGGAUUCUGGUUAUAACAGUUUCAGUGAUGAGAAAUCAGCUUCAUCUAGCAUGCUUUUUCCACUGGAGGAAGAACUUUGUUCAAGUAAAACAGAUGAGGAAUUUAACUGUAGUUCAGUAACAGAAGAGCUAGCAGCUAAUGUGGAGAGUUUUUUAUCUCGUUCUCCUCCACCUCUGACUGAACUCACAAGUUUGGAGUGUGAGAUUCUUGGCAGUUCUGCUCUUCAGAAUUUGCUUCUCAGCCCCCACACAGAGAACUUAGAAAACGCUGAAUCUCCCUGUUUGACAGUUGUGGAUUCUCCACAGGAUUUAACACUGGAGCCACAUGAACUUACCAGUCAUCUUGUUGAAAAAUGUUGCCUUUACCGGGCAACUAAUGAUAAGGUUUUUGACAAGCCAAAGUUCUGUGACUAUGACAAUAAAAUACAUAAGGCUGCUCAAAAUGAAAAUUCUGCAUCCUGCACUCAUAUUCAUACAAACACAGAGCACCCAAAGUAUUUUGCUGAAAAGAAUCAAGAUAUUGACAGUGGCGGGCUCCCAAUAUCUCAUCCUCACCAGGACGAAAGUUUAAUACUAUUUGAAGAUGUUAAUAUGGAAGUGAGUGGUGUAAGCCUUUCUGCCUCUGACAGUGAAUGCAAAUCUCCAGGUGUCUCUGAGAAAGAUGCUAUAAAUGAGCACGGACUGCUCGCUAAUUUCUCAAUUUCUGAUGAACUCUUGUUUGACAACAAUCCUGAGCCCCAAGACCAAAUUGUCUGCAUUAAUAGUAGUUGCAGAUCUCAUGAAGAUUUGAGAGCAGUACAUGGGGACAGAGAGAAGAGUGGUGACUGUGCUUUUGACGGCUCAAAGGAAAUAUUUUCUGUUACAUUUGAUUUAGGGUUUCGUGCUCCAGAUUCUGAUGAUGAGAACUUAGAACGUAUAUCCGAUACAAAGAAGAAUGGCUCUGUAGAUGACGCAUCUGGGCAGUGUGCAGAUGUGAAGAAUGUGGGCGUCAUCGCCGCACCGUCUCCUGGACUGUGUGGUGCAGAUUGCAUAUUAAACCAGGUAACACCAGAAGGUUCUGUUGACUGUUCUACAAGAGAAGAUAAGCAGAGUUCAGCUUUUGCACCGAGUGUAGCAAAAGAGAAAGGAUGUAUAUCUCCUGGUUAUUCUCAGUUUUCCUUGCCAGUCAGAGAAAAAGUUAUGAGUACACCACUUUCUGAAUCAAAUACUUGGACCCCGUCUUAUAAGAAGAACAGGCAAAUGCCCAAGACACCAGAUUCUAACAGAGGAAGAAUAAAUCCACAAAGUUCCAAAGAAACGUUGAAUUUAACUUUUGAUGAUUUAGGUCUUCCUGUAGAAAAGAAAAAAAGUGGGGGGAAAAUGAGUCUGCAUCAGUCUUGUUAUCCUGCUGCAGGUGAACACUUAAGAAGCAGUGAAAGUGAAGAUGAUGUGAUUUUCCGAAGAAAAACUAGCAAGCCAAAGAGAGAUCUUUUAGAAUCCCCUGAGAAUCAGAAAAAUAGUGACGUUGAUUCUCCACUUCAGGCUGUCAGAAAGCACCGGACUCCUCUAAACAGAUUAGAACUAUCAUCUAGUGAUGAGGAUGACAAUUUUCAACAACAUUCACAUUUAGAAGACUUCGAGGAGUUAAGCAAAAAUGCCAAAAGGAUUCUCAAAGUUCAAAAGAAGCAGAGUCACCUAAAGCUGAUAGCUAGAAAGUUUUUAGAUGAUGAAGCAGAGCUUUCUGAAGAUGAAGAAUGUGUUUCAUCAGAUGAAAGGGAUGAGUCAGAAAGUGAGCAGAAUUCCUCCUUACUUGACUUCUUAAAUGACGAGCCGCAGCUUUCACAGGCCGUCGAUGAUUCUGAAAUGAGAGCUAUUUAUAUAAAGUCUUUGCGCAGCCCAGAGGUGGGCAAUCAGUACAGAAGGAUGCAUACGAAAUCCAACGUAAAUGUCUUCUCACAGAUUCCUGAGCAAGAUGAAACCUACUUAGAGGACAGUUUUUGCGUUGAUAAAGAGGAGUCUUCCAAAAGCCAGUCAAGUGAAGAAGAAGUGUGUGUUGAUUUUAACAUAACUGAAGACUUCUUUGAAAACGGCAGUAAAAAGUAUAAAACCCGGCACGCAGUUAAGCUGAAAGAAAUGAAGAUGAGGCAGAAUUGUGCGGGUUCUAAAAAGAAAUUAUCCAGGAUUAUUUUACCUGACGAUUCCAGUGAGGAAGAAAAGGAAGUAACAGAGCAAGGGAGCGCCGGCAUCAAGGUCGGCCCGGGCGUUCUCGCCGCGGACAGGCAGCCGCAGGGCCCCUGCGUGACCCUGCCGCCUCCCGGGUCUUCCCUGCAGCCCGGGGGCAGGGGCCGUGCUGGAUCCGAAGGCGGUCAGGUGCCAGACCAGACACGAAAGACGCCUCUUCCUGACACCCCCGGCUUCAACCCGCAGGCUCCUAGAAACAUUGCCUCUACCUCUCCAUUUACUUCUGUCGACUCGCAGACAGACUUCACAGAGCGUCCAGCUAAUCUCAAGGGUGACUGUGCUCUGGAGGUUUCUGGCACGUUACUGGCAAACUUCUGCUCAAGACCACAACUGGUCGGCACACGUGCGUCUCUUCAGGCUCCACGGGAAGACCAGAGAGCUUGUAUUCUUGUAGAUAGUCGUGAGGUCACUUCUGGCGCAGAAGUGAUCUCCUCCCUAAGAGCCAUUCACGGCUUCCACGUGGAGGUUUGUCCUCUUAAUGGCUGUGAUUACAUAGUGAGUAACCGGAUGGUGGUGGAGAGGAGGUACCAUUCUGAGAUGGCAAAUAGUCUCCAUAAGAGGAAACUCAUCGGGCAGAUCCAGUAUCUACAGAACUUGUUUGAGAGAAUCUGUGUGAUUGUGGAAAAAGACAGAGAAAAAGCAGGAGAGUCCUCCAGGAUAUUUAAGAGAACGAAGAGCUAUGACAGCCUGCUGACCGCCUUAAUCAGUGCCGGAAUCCGAAUUCUUUUCAGUUCCUGCCAAGAAGAAACUGCGGACCUGCUCAAGGAACUGUCUUUAGUGGAGCAAAGGAAGAAUGUUGGCAUUCAUGUUCCAACUGUGGUGAACAGUAGUAAAUGGGAGGCACUUCAGUUUUAUCUCAGUAUCCCCAAUAUUAGCUACAUAACUGCACUAAAUAUGUGCCACCAGUUCUCAUCUGUGAAGAAAAUGACUAAUAGCACAGCUCAAGAAAUCUCCAUGUAUGCAAGAGUCACCCAGGAAAAGGCAGAGGAGAUCCACAGAUACAUUCGCUGCUUGUUUGACGUGCACAUGUUACCAGAUGCUCUUCGCCCCGGCAGACUCAGAUCUCCUGUGUCAUCGGCCUGCUGAAAGACCUGUGUGCUGUGACCUGCGGCCUGCAGUUUACCAUAUAACACUACUUAGCUCUGCAAGGAAUUGAACCUGGGAUCCUGGUGCGUCAGGCAUGAAAGUCUCUCAUAAUCCUCAUGCUAUCUCCCAGGGACCCUGUAAAAGCAGCCCAAGAUCAAGUAGACUCUUAGGACAGCAGUCAAGACACUGAGGCCUCUGGCUGUAACAUCAGGACAGUGACUAGCUAAAGCUGAUCUGGAGGGGCCGGGUGGCGGUGCACCUGGCUGAGUGUGUACGUUCCGGCUCCGGCGAGGAACAACCCGGGUUCAGACCUUCAGCCCCUCGUGCAGGGGAAGCUGCCUGAGUGGUGGAGCAGAGCCGUAGGUCUCUCCCCUCCCCUCUCAACUUCUCUCUUAAAUCACAUUUACUUAUUUA